RNAcentral lists this ribosomal RNA (497 nucleotides) under uncultured bacterium. RNAcentral's name for it is "partial 16S ribosomal RNA". It matches the Rfam family "Bacterial small subunit ribosomal RNA", at positions 28 to 507 of the family's 1533-position model. The record is from RNAcentral.
GAUGAACGCUGACGGCGUGCCUAAUACAUGCAAGUCGAGCGAACAGACGAGGAGCUUGCUCCUCUGACGUUAGCGGCGGACGGGUGAGUAACACGUGGAUAACCUACCUAUAAGACUGGGAUAACUUCGGGAAACCGGAGCUAAUACCGGAUAAUAUAUUGAACCGCAUGGUUCAAUAGUGAAAGACGGUUUUGCUGUCACUUAUAGAUGGAUCCGCGCCGCAUUAGCUAGUUGGUAAGGUAACGGCUUACCAAGGCAACGAUGCGUAGCCGACCUGAGAGGGUGAUCGGCCACACUGGAACUGAGACACGGUCCAGACUCCUACGGGAGGCAGCAGUAGGGAAUCUUCCGCAAUGGGCGAAAGCUUGACGGAGCAACGCCGCGUGAGUGAUGAAGGUCUUCGGAUCGUAAAGCCCUGUUAUUAGGGAAGAACAAAUGUGUAAGUAACUAUGCACGUCUUGACGGUACCUAAUCAGAAAGCCACGGCUAACUACGUG